This 275-nucleotide ribosomal RNA is filed under the name uncultured bacterium. RNAcentral describes it as "partial 16S ribosomal RNA". It matches the Rfam family "Bacterial small subunit ribosomal RNA", at positions 338 to 629 of the family's 1533-position model. The record is from RNAcentral.
CCUACGGGUGGCUGCAGUGAGGAAUAUUGCACAAUGGGCGAAAGCCUGAUGCAGCGACGCCGCGUGGGCGAUGAAGGUCUUCGGAUCGUAAAGCCCUUUUCUGUGUGACGAGAACGGACGGUAGCACAGGAAUAAGUCACGGCUAACUACGUGCCAGCAGCCGCGGUAAGACGUAGGUGGCAAGCGUUAUCCGGAGUUACUGGGCGUAAAGAGUGCGUAGGCGGGCGAGUAAGUGGUUCGUGAAAUCUCCAUGCUAAACGUGGAGGGGACGAAUC